CAACUAUGAUGAUGUUUCAACUUCAGGUCCGUGUUUCUGAAUCCUGAUUGUAUGGAAGUUCUGAGCAA
Gasterosteus aculeatus aculeatus (three-spined stickleback) is the source of this 68-nucleotide small nucleolar RNA. Its record names the gene SNORD18. It matches the Rfam family "Small nucleolar RNA SNORD18". Rfam says of the family: U18 is a member of the C/D class of snoRNA which contain the C (UGAUGA) and D (CUGA) box motifs. The record is from Ensembl. NCBI's taxonomy places the organism in Eukaryota, Metazoa, Chordata, Actinopteri, Perciformes, Gasterosteidae.